Molecule: ribosomal RNA, 680 nt
Filed under: uncultured Pseudomonadota bacterium
Lineage: Bacteria; Pseudomonadati; Pseudomonadota
Description: bacterial SSU rRNA
Rfam family: Bacterial small subunit ribosomal RNA
Source: RNAcentral
GCAGGCCUAACACAUGCAAGUCGAACGGUAACAGGAAGCAGCUUGCUGCUUCGCUGACGAGUGGCGGACGGGUGAGUAAUGUCUGGGAAACUGCCUGAUGGAGGGGGAUAACUACUGGAAACGGUAGCUAAUACCGCAUAAUGUCGCAAGACCAAAGAGGGGGACCUUCGGGCCUCUUGCCAUCGGAUGUGCCCAGAUGGGAUUAGCUAGUAGGUGGGGUAACGGCUCACCUAGGCGACGAUCCCUAGCUGGUCUGAGAGGAUGACCAGCCACACUGGAACUGAGACACGGUCCAGACUCCUACGGGAGGCAGCAGUGGGGAAUAUUGCACAAUGGGCGCAAGCCUGAUGCAGCCAUGCCGCGUGUAUGAAGAAGGCCUUCGGGUUGUAAAGUACUUUCAGCGGGGAGGAAGGCGAUAAGGUUAAUAACCUUGUCGAUUGACGUUACCCGCAGAAGAAGCACCGGCUAACUCCGUGCCAGCAGCCGCGGUAAUACGGAGGGUGCAAGCGUUAAUCGGAAUUACUGGGCGUAAAGCGCACGCAGGCGGUCUGUCAAGUCGGAUGUGAAAUCCCCGGGCUCAACCUGGGAACUGCAUUCGAAACUGGCAGGCUAGAGUCUUGUAGAGGGGGGUAGAAUUCCAGGUGUAGCGGUGAAAUGCGUAGAGAUCUGGAGGAAUACCG